RNAcentral lists this ribosomal RNA (123 nucleotides) under uncultured bacterium. RNAcentral describes it as "partial 16S ribosomal RNA". It matches the Rfam family "Bacterial small subunit ribosomal RNA", at positions 1360 to 1482 of the family's 1533-position model. The record is from RNAcentral.
CGGUGAAUACGUUCCCGGGCCUUGUACACACCGCCCGUCAAGUCACGAAAAUUGGUAACACCCGAAGCCGGUGGCCUAACCCUUGUGGGGGAGCCGUCGAAGGUGGGACCGGCGAUUGGGACU